GGCACCAUGGCUAAGCUGGCUAACGCGCCUGUCUAGUAAACAGGAGAUCCUGGGUUCAACUCCCAGUGGUGCCU
Chelonia mydas (Green sea turtle) is the source of this 74-nucleotide non-coding RNA. The record is from Rfam. NCBI's taxonomy places the organism in Eukaryota, Metazoa, Chordata, Testudines, Cheloniidae.